This 379-nucleotide ribosomal RNA is filed under the name uncultured Halomicronema sp. Its description in RNAcentral is "bacterial SSU rRNA". It matches the Rfam family "Bacterial small subunit ribosomal RNA", at positions 376 to 770 of the family's 1533-position model. Lineage: Bacteria; Bacillati; Cyanobacteriota; Cyanophyceae; Nodosilineales; Nodosilineaceae. The record is from RNAcentral.
CGAAAGCCUGACGGAGCAACGCCGCGUGAGGGAGGAAGGCCUGUGGGUUGUAAACCUCUUUUCUCAGGGAAGAAGAACUGACGGUACCUGAGGAAUCAGCAUCGGCUAACUCCGUGCCAGCAGCCGCGGUAAUACGGAGGAUGCAAGCGUUAUCCGGAAUUAUUGGGCGUAAAGCGUCCGUAGGCGGUUUUUCAAGUCUGCUGUUAAAGCGUGCAGCUUAACUGCAUAUCGGCAGUGGAAACUGAGAGACUAGAGUGUAGUAGGGGUAGAGGGAAUUCCCAGUGUAGCGGUGAAAUGCGUAGAUAUUGGGAAGAACACCGGUGGCGAAAGCGCUCUACUGGGCCGUAACUGACACUGAUGGACGAAAGCUAGGGGAGCG